This is a long non-coding RNA of Onychostoma macrolepis, 2724 nucleotides long. RefSeq lists it as uncharacterized. NCBI's taxonomy places the organism in Eukaryota, Metazoa, Chordata, Actinopteri, Cypriniformes, Cyprinidae. The transcript is spliced from 3 exons. The record is from RefSeq and is a predicted model, not a curated record.
ACAUUGUUUCACUGUUGUUGUUUUUUCAUAGUGCAGAUCUAAAUGUGUAAAAUUCCAUAAUGACAAAAUUUAAAUGGAUGAUAUAAACAUAAUAGAAUAUAAACUACCAUUCAAAAUUGAGGUAUAUUUUUAAAAUGUCUCUUAAAGUCUCUUAUGCUUCACACAAGCUGCAAUCAUUUGAUCAGAAAUACAUAAAAAUAGUAAUAUUGUAAAAUAUUAUAUAAAAUAACUGUUUAAUAUCUGAAUAUAUUUUCAAAAUAAUUUAUUCCUGAGAUGUAAAAUCUGAAUAUUCAACAUAAUUACUCCAGUCUUCAGUGUCACGUGAACCUUCAGAAAUCAUUCUAAUAUGCUGAUGUGCUGCUCAAGAAGAUUUAUUAUCAAUAGAGAUGUUCCGAUACCCUUUUUCCCUUCCUGAUACCGAUUCCGAUACCUAGGCUCAGGGUAUCGGCCGAUACCGAGUACUGAUCCGAUACCUGGGUGUGUAUCUGGUUAUACAGCUGUAUGUACUACUAGACCUGUAUGAAUAGAUACAAUUAUUUUAUGGUGUGCUUCACCAUAGAUAGAGAUAGAUAGAUAAUCUGGCGAGUAAACAAAAAAAUAUAAUAUAUAAUGUUUGGAAAAUGGCACAUCUAUUUAAAUAUCUAAAAGUACACUCUUAACAUCAGUCAGUCAAGCAUUAUAAAUGUAUUAUGAUAAUCGAGUAUUAUUUAAUGAUAUAACUUUAGCAAUUAGAAUUAAAACUUGGUAACCAUGAAUACAGUCAUUUUAACUGAACUGGUGGUGGUGCUUUUUUGGUCAUUCAGUGUUUCUCUAAAAAAUGGGGGGGGAAACUAUCAAUAAUACUGAUAAGAUAAUAAUCAUACUAUGAAUUCUACUAAGAACAAUAUAAAACGCACUAAGGAUUAACGAGCUGCUGGAUUCGUGAAUAUUAAUCACGUUGUCUGCGUUCGCUUGAACUGAUUUGCUGAAAUCAAACCAGGGACGAUUAUAGGUGAGCACCAGCCAAUGAGAUUAUCGCUUGCGCAUUAGCCCCGCCUACUACCGGAGAACACGGCAGUUCUUAAAAGUUGAAGAAUUCAAAAGGAACUCCGUUAUUCUUACAGGAAAAUACAACAAAGACUAUCGUUUACAUACCAAGCAGAAUUGACGCGCUACAUGUAAGACUCUCUCUCUCUCUCUCUUUGCGUGUGAGGAAAAAAGCAAAGCGACGGAGAGUCGUGCACUUCACACUAGAGCUUACGGUAACUCCGGGGUUCUUAUUGCUGCUGUUAGAACAGCCGUGUAUUACACAACACACCAUCGCGCUGUUUAAAAAAAAAUACAGCGAUAAUACCAUGGAUAAUACCGAAGCUGCCUCGCUUGUCAAUUGACAGACUGACAGUUGCCGUGGUUUCUAUGUCAACAACAUGGCCGCCGCGAACAUUGAUGACGUAGAUCGAAUAACAACUAUACAGAAAUUGGAGGGAAGCUGUCUAGUCUGCGUGCCCCCGACCUGUGCCCUGGUCCCAGAGGCCUUUCUGCAUCUCGCUCUGUCUGUGUCACGGGAUCUGGCUAAGGAGAUUUCACUCCACAAGAUGUUAACUGAUGGACUGAAGUCAUGUGGAAUACUUGUGGAUUAUUUUAAUCAGCUGUUUGGACUUUCAUUCUGACGGCACCCAUUCAAGUGAUGUAAUUCUACAUUUCUCCAAAUCUGGCCUAAGUAAAUUUUCAGGAAAUUUUUAUUUUCGGUGAACUGUUCCUUUAAGAGCACUGUAAUCUGAUAAGAAAACGUUUGAAAGCUUUAUUUUGGUCAAAAGACAAAUGGCAUUGUUGUUAAACAGACACAAGGAUCCUCUGCACCUGUUUUGCUUUCAUGUGUAGACAGGCUGGCAGUUACUUGUGACAUGGCGAUGAGAGUGUGUGUCCCAGUUGUGUGAUUAUGUUAAACAAUGUUUGUUCACUGUGUGCUUGUGAAGAACUCUAUAUAUUUGAAUGUUUGCAUGUGUGUUUGGGUAAUAUAUGCUCAUCUAACAAUUAUGCCAUUGUACAUAAGCAUCCAGUUUAUGUGUGUACCCACUUUAAGAAUGCUGUAUAUCUGGGAAUGUACAUUGUGUAUGACAUGGUGAAUGAUGUAUAUUUUACCACUGGGUCUUUGUGUAGUAACAAAGGUUGGUUUGUAGUCUGUCAGUACUCUGUAAUCCAUUCAGUGUAUAUAUCAGAGAAUGAAAACAGAGAAUGAACAUGCUUUGUUUAUGAUAUUUGUUAUGAUGAAUGUCUAAGUGUCUCUCCCACGUCAUAGCAUACAUACCAAAGCCAAGAAGGAGUUAAACAGACAACUGUAUCUUGCCUUGUGCAUGCAUGUGGUUCUGUCAACAAGCCAAACAAGCUUUACAUUCAGCAUGAGGCCUGGGUCAGUUAAAAGGUCAAAGUUCAGUUCAUGCUUAGGCAUCAUGAAUGUGUUUUCUGACAUUUCAAAAGAAUAUGGUUAUGGUACACGAACACAUGGUUCAAGCUAUAAAGAUAUUUAUCAUUCACUGUUAAUUCAUUGUGUUGUAUUUAUUAUGUUUUAGAUAUUUUUUCAACCAUAUUUUGUUAAUUAUGUACUGUAUAUACAUGCUACCUUUCAAAAGUUUGGGGUCGAUUUUUUUAUGUUUUGUAUCUUACAAAACUGUAAUAUUGUGAAAUAUUAUUACAAUUUAAAAUAACAUCAUAUAUUUUAUAUGUUAUAUAUUCCUGUGAUGGCAA